Schistosoma mansoni is the source of this 115-nucleotide non-coding RNA. The record is from Rfam. NCBI's taxonomy places the organism in Eukaryota, Metazoa, Platyhelminthes, Trematoda, Strigeidida, Schistosomatidae.
UUACAGAUAUGGAGAUAUUGUACCAACUACAAUUAUUGGAAAAAUAGUUGGCGGUAUUUGUUCACUUUCUGGUGUACUUGUUAUCGCCUUACCAGUCCCUGUGAUUGUUUCACAU